AUGCAAUCUAUCACACUCACACAGCUCGAGGAUAAGAUAACCUGGACCUUAACUGCCAACUCUAUCUACUCAUCCAGCUCUGCUUAUGAAGCUCAAUACCAUGGCCGGAUUUUGAACCCUCAACUGCACAAGGUCUGGGAUGCUAAAGCGGAGGGCAAGAUAAAAUUCUUCAUUUGGCUAAUUUUGCAAAACAGAGUAUGGACAGCUGACCGCCUUGCUAUGCGAGGCUGGCCUCAUGAUGACCUCUGUUGCCUUUGUGAUCAAGAGAUGGAAUCCAUUAAUCACGUACUGCUAAAGUGCCCUUUCGCCAAGGAAGUGUGGUCUGCCUUCUCCUCCUCGCAUCCUUCGACCACAACAACUGCCUUGGGCUCUACCUCUAUCUCUGGAUGGUGGAGGAAGAUUUCUAGGUACAGCAAGAAAAAGGAAGAGUCUGCAAACAUCACAAUGGCUAUAUACACGGUUUGGCAUCUCUGGAAGGAGAGGAACAACAUGAUUUUUGAGGGAAAGAACGCUACUGUGAGCACUGUGGUCUCUCUUAUCCAUGACGACCUGCUUUUUGUAGGUCCUAUCUUCUGCAAGUAG
Molecule: ribosomal RNA, 582 nt
Filed under: Triticum aestivum (bread wheat)
Lineage: Eukaryota; Viridiplantae; Streptophyta; Magnoliopsida; Poales; Poaceae
Description: partial small subunit ribosomal RNA
Source: RNAcentral